AUGCUCCCUCCACGCAUAACAAUGUGUUUUCAUAAAGGAUUUCUACGGAUCUACAUAUUUAUAGAAGAAUUCUAUCUCUAUGAAUUUGUAGAUUAAAAAAUCCUCUUAUUUAUUAGGGGAAAAAUUAGAAAAAUUCUUGAUGCAUCUAUAAACACCUUUUCUAUCAUUUCAGAUCAUGUUACACACUAAAAUUAAACUUACUAUAUACAAAUUAAUUUAGUUUGUGCAUAUAAAGAUGAUUCGGUAGUUGGUUUUGGCAAAGUCAAUUUUGUAAAAUGUUGAAUUUUGGGGGCUUCUGGCAAUUAUUUGAGAAAAUAGGGGCUAUAAGUAUAGGCUACUGCACUUAUUUGUUAUCAGCGUUUGAGAAAUACUUCAAAGAAAAUUUCUCGUCGGUCAAAAUGGCGGACAAAGAAACCCCACUGCCGUCUCCGUCGUCCGAAAUCACGCCGUCGCCGUCGUCCGAAAUCUCGUCCAAGCAGAUUCUUCUACUGUUCCAGUUGUUUCUUUUCCUUAUAUUACAUCAUAGUGAAAAUUUCCCUCAUUCAACUUCACGUUUCUAUUUUGCAGCCGUCGCCGUCGGCCGAAAUCUCGUUCACUGCUAUGACGAGGUUUAAGGAAUCCAUGCCAUCUAAAGACAAGAUAAUUCUUGAUCAACCACUACCAAAUGCUCUUGGUGAACAGAAGCUGAAGGGGCAUUGAGAAAUCGUUUCGCCCGCUCAAUGGAGACGCAGAUUGAACAGGGCAUAAGUGCGCGCUAGAGAAGAUAAAACCCGAUGCUCUUGUUGCCGUUGCUGCCAUGAAAAUUUGUCCCGGUGAUGUUGCUGCCAAUCUUAAUGGUCAGAGCUCAACUGCUGCAGCCAAGAAAGAAGGUCCGACGACAGAAGGUCCGACCUCAACCAUUGUCGAUUGCACCAAAAAUGAUGAGGUGACUGAUGAGGAGAAGGACGAGGAGGGUGAUCGGGUGGCUAGGGAGUUAAUUGCAUCUAAGGAAGAGGCGGUAAAUGCACUGUUCGACCUGGUGGAGAAAUGGGUGGCUUUUCACCUCCACAAGACCACUCCGGCUAUGGGAAUGGCCUACCGUGCUGCAGGACUCGUCCUCAUCACAAUUCUGGCGAUGCUUGUGCUUACCCACAAGAAUAAUGGGUAAGCUGGCUUGGGAGUGAGUGGUAGGCUACAUAAUUAACACUAGAUUUGUUGAUUGUAGUUCUCAUUCAAACAACAAUUUUCAGUGAACUUUGUCACUUGUAAGUAAGUGUUACAUACUUCAUCUACACUUUUACAAGAAUGGUCUUUCCCAAUGACUUUCUCCAUUAUUAUUACAUAGCCAAGUUUUUUAUCACAAGAAUCAAAAUUUCAAAAACAACCCAAAAAUAAAUGAACAUUACUAAAUGCUAAGUUCUCCCCAUCAGGCGUCACCUUGAUUCUAGAAGUCGAGGUUUCAAACCUCAAAUCCACCCUCUACAAAUAAUCUGAAAUUCAAUCAGUAUGCUCUGUUUUAUAGAUUUAUGUUUAUUUUGCUUUUUCCUUAUUUUGUCUUUCAACAAAUCUGACUCACCUAUCCAGGAUUUUCAGAUGAAUUUAUUCUUGUGUCACUGAUGCAAAAGUAGUUAAUUUUCCAGAAAAUGAAGAUUGUGUUUCUUUUAAAGGGACAGUUAUGGCAGAACUUAGCAUUUAGUAAUGUUCAUUUAUUUUUGGGUUGUUUUUGAAAUUUUGAUUCUUGUGAUAAAAAACUUGGCUAUGUAAUAAUAAUGGAGAAAGUCAUUGGGAAAGACCAUUCUUGUAAAAGUGUAGAUGAAGUAUGUAACACUUACUUACAAGUGACAAAGUUCACUGAAAAUUGUUGUUUGAAUGAGAACUACAAUCAGCAAAUCUAGUGUUAAUUAUGUAGCCUACCACUCACUCCCAAGCCAGCUUACCCAUUAUUCUUGUGGGUACGCACAAGCAUCGCCAGAAUUGUGAUGAGGACGAGUCCUGCAGCACGGUAGGCCAUUCCCAUAGCCGGAGUGGUCUUGUGGAGGUGAAAAGCCACCCAUUUCUCCGCCUGGUUGAACAGUGCCUUUACCGCCUCUUCCUUAGAUGCAAUUAACUCCCUAGCCACCCGAUCACCCUCCUCGUCCUUCUCCUCAUCAGUCACCUCAUCAUUUUUGGUGCAAUCGACAAUGGUUGAGGUCGGACCUUCUUUCUUGGCUGCAGCAGUUGAGCUCUGACCAUUAAGAUUGGCAGCAAUAGCACCGGGACAAAUUUUCAUGGCAGCAACGGCAACAAGAGCAUCAGGUUUUAUCUUCUCUAGCGCGCACUUAUCCCCUGUUUAAUCUGCGUCUCCCUUUAAAAGAAACACAAUCUUCAUUUUCUGGAAAAUUAACUACUUUUGCAUCAGUGACACAAGAAUAAAUUCAUCUGAAAAUCCUGGAUAGGCACAAAGCUUGGCUGAACCGUUUGCUUAUGAGUCUAACAUAGAAAAGCAAAAGCAGGAAAAAUCAGUCUGAUGCGAGAAUAGAAUUACGGACUUUGGCAGCCCGACUUGUUGAAGCAGAGGAGAGCAAAAUGAUGAGAAGGUUGCUGAAGGUGCUAAGAAGGGACCAAAGAGGAAGAGAGGUCUCACCACUGAAGUUGUUAAGGAUGAGCUGUGUACUUUAUAUAUGUUUGAAGAUAACUUCAAAUUUUUGUAGAGUAAAUGAUGAUUGCUUGUGAAAUUAACUAGUAACCAUAAUAGAACUUAUGUCCCUACUCAAGUAUGUUGUGUCUUACUGUAUAUAAUUACAUAAAACAUGAAAACAGGGAUAAAAGGCAUAGAGAGGUUGGGUAUCAUAUGCUUUUGAGGCACUAGCUGACAUGAGUUCAUCAAUUCAGUUAUGUUUGUCCUCUUAUUUUAGGUAGUUGGCUGGUUUUUAUGGUAGUUUAUGGUACUACAAGAGGAGAAAUGGACAGUUUUGGCAGUGGAGAGAUUUCUUACAUAAUGUCACGGGUGUGUAAAAUCUGUUCAGUGGGUGUUGUAGGUUUAAUUUUUGUGGUAUAUUCUCUCUUCUCCAAUGUUAUCAGCACCCACCCUUUCUGUAGCAGUCACUCUUAUUGCUUCUCUGGUUUUCUUCCACGACAAGAUGAAUGCUGCGAAGAUAAUUGCUAUGUUGUUGGCGUUUUGCGGCUUUGCUUCUUACACAUAUAUCAGAACUGUCUUGAUGAUCUUGAGGCGAGGAAGAAUCAAAAUGAAUCUUGUGAUGCCAUCAACACAGAUAUUGCACAAGAUGAAAUAUGCCUCAAAUGAAAAUGAACCCACCAACCCAGACAGAAUAGAAGACAAUGGAAUUAGCCUCAGAUUAUGGAGGCGGACAGAGGAGCCAGGAAAGGAGCCGGUGGCAU
Salvia splendens (bonfire salvia) is the source of this 3357-nucleotide long non-coding RNA. RefSeq lists it as uncharacterized. The record is from RefSeq and is a predicted model, not a curated record. The transcript has 6 exons. NCBI's taxonomy places the organism in Eukaryota, Viridiplantae, Streptophyta, Magnoliopsida, Lamiales, Lamiaceae.